RNAcentral lists this small nucleolar RNA (122 nucleotides) under Sorex araneus (European shrew). RNAcentral describes it as "Small nucleolar RNA SNORA72 (ENSSARG00000019078.1)". It matches the Rfam family "Small nucleolar RNA SNORA72". Rfam says of the family: U72 is a member of the H/ACA class of snoRNAs. The snoRNA gene is located in intron 4 of the ribosomal L30 protein gene in human, mouse and chicken. Lineage: Eukaryota; Metazoa; Chordata; Mammalia; Eulipotyphla; Soricidae. The record is from RNAcentral.
UUGUGAAGUCUCACUGUUCUGAUUUUAUAGUAAUCAGGACAGGCUAAACAUUUGCUACAAUAAGACAGUACAUAUGCUCCUAGACCUAGUUCCUUACCAACUUAGAAAUAAUGGUGAUAAAU